GCCAGGUGUAGUGGUGGGCGCCUGUAAUCCCAGCUACUUGGGAGGCUGAGGCAGGAGAAUCGCUUGAACCCAGGAGGCGGAGGUUGCAGUGAGCCGAGAUCACGCCAUUGCACUCCAACCUGGGCAACAAAGCGAGACUCUGUCUCAA
Molecule: non-coding RNA, 148 nt
Filed under: Homo sapiens (human)
Lineage: Eukaryota; Metazoa; Chordata; Mammalia; Primates; Hominidae
Source: Rfam by way of RNAcentral